RNAcentral lists this transfer RNA (62 nucleotides) under Alectorobius amblus. RNAcentral describes it as "tRNA-Cys". The record is from RNAcentral. Lineage: Eukaryota; Metazoa; Arthropoda; Arachnida; Ixodida; Argasidae.
GGUCUUAUAGUUUAUUAAAAAAAUUUUAAAAUGCAAGUUUAAAGAAAAGAGUUUUAAGACUU